GACGAACCGAGCGAACGUUGUUCGGAAUCACUGGGCUUAAAGGGCGCGUAGGCGGUGUGUCAAGUCAGGCGUGAAAGCCCCGGGCUCAACCUGGGAACCGCGCUUGAGACUGGCACGCUAGAGUUCGGGAGAGGAUGGUGGAAUUCCCAGUGUAGAGGUGAAAUUCGUAGAUAUUGGGAAGAACACCGAUGGCGAAGGCAGCCAUCUGGACCGACACUGACGCUGAGGCGCGAAAGCGUGGGGAGCAAACAGG
RNAcentral lists this ribosomal RNA (253 nucleotides) under uncultured bacterium. RNAcentral's name for it is "partial 16S ribosomal RNA". It matches the Rfam family "Bacterial small subunit ribosomal RNA", at positions 524 to 776 of the family's 1533-position model. The record is from RNAcentral.